Molecule: small nuclear RNA, 185 nt
Filed under: Ophiophagus hannah (king cobra)
Lineage: Eukaryota; Metazoa; Chordata; Lepidosauria; Squamata; Elapidae
Description: 7SK RNA
Rfam family: 7SK RNA
About the family: 7SK was discovered as an abundant small nuclear RNA in the mid-70s but a possible function has only recently been suggested.
Source: Rfam by way of RNAcentral
GGAUGCAAACUUGGUGUCACCCCAUGGAUUGCCAGGUUUGACUGAGACAAUCUGACGGGCUAGGCAGAUGUUCCCUUCCUCUGUCAGGACUCCAUGUGCAUCCUUCUUGAAGCUGCAUGCUAGGUGGAAGAGGACGAUUCCAGUUAGAAGGAGGGUGCCAAUCUUCAAUCAAGGGAUAUACAGGA